Fundulus heteroclitus (mummichog) is the source of this 485-nucleotide long non-coding RNA. RefSeq lists it as uncharacterized. The record is from RefSeq and is a predicted model, not a curated record. The transcript has 3 exons. Lineage: Eukaryota; Metazoa; Chordata; Actinopteri; Cyprinodontiformes; Fundulidae.
UCAGGCGGUCCCUCAUCAUCUGCUCCCGCCGCGGGUCCACCUUCUUCUUCUUCUUUGGCUCCGCUCUUAUGCAACACAACAACACACACCUCUGCAAAUGUCAUCUCGCCUACACAAUCAGGAAGGACUGCUGGCUCAACAACUGUCCAGCAGACGGUCAUCGACCUUGAGUAAGCCACAAAAGGUCACUUUCAAAGAAGCUGCGUGUUCAGAGGUGUGCAUCCAAUUAUUUUUAUGGAAACUAGUGUGUUAGAAAAGGAACUGUGACAGCUGCAGUGGUGAGAGGAGCACCAAAGCCCAUCAUUUACCAUUCAAGAGUUUGGGGGAGAUUCAUAAGCUGUUGACUGCAGCUGGAGUUAGAGCUUCAAGAGCCACCAGACACUGACAAUGCCUGGACCUGAACUACUACUGUUGUAUUCCUUCACCUGAUCUGAACCUCAAUGGAGAACCAACUGAGUAUUGGAAAUACUUUCCAGUGGCCUGAA